This 467-nucleotide ribosomal RNA is filed under the name uncultured bacterium. RNAcentral's name for it is "bacterial SSU rRNA". It matches the Rfam family "Bacterial small subunit ribosomal RNA", at positions 29 to 507 of the family's 1533-position model. The record is from RNAcentral.
AACGAACGCUGGCGGCAUGCCUAACACAUGCAAGUCGAACGUGAUCCGGGGCUUGCUCCGGUGAAAGUGGCGGACGGGUGAGUAACGCGUGGGAACCUGCCCUUUGGUCGGGGAUAACUGCGGGAAACUGCGGCUAAUACCCGAUGUACCCGAGAGGGGAAAGAUUUAUCGCCGAAGGAUGGGCCCGCGUCGGAUUAGGUAGUUGGUGGGGUAACGGCCUACCAAGCCUUCGAUCCGUAGCUGGUCUGAGAGGAUGAUCAGCCACACUGGGACUGAGAUACGGCCCAGACUCCUACGGGAGGCAGCAGUGGGGAAUAUUGGACAAUGGGCGCAAGCCUGAUCCAGCAAUGCCGCGUGGGUGAUGAAGGUCUUCGGAUUGUAAAACCCUGUCGCCAGGGACGAAGGGUGGGCGUGAAUAGCGUUCUACUUUGACGGUACCUGGAAAGGAAGCCCCGGCUAACUCUGUG